CUCAGUUCAGACUGCAGGCUGCAACUCGCCUGCAUGAAGUCGGAAUUGCUAGUAGUCGUAGGUCAGCAUACUACGGUGAAUACGUUCCCGGGCCUUGUACACACCGCCCGUCAAACUAUGAGAGUUGGCAACACCCGAAGUCGGUAGUCUAACCGCAAGGAGGACGCCGCCGAAGGUGGGGUCGAUGAAUAGGGUUAAGUCGUAACAAGGUACC
RNAcentral lists this ribosomal RNA (214 nucleotides) under uncultured bacterium. RNAcentral's name for it is "partial 16S ribosomal RNA". It matches the Rfam family "Bacterial small subunit ribosomal RNA", at positions 1287 to 1500 of the family's 1533-position model. The record is from RNAcentral.